RNAcentral lists this long non-coding RNA (554 nucleotides) under Calidris pugnax (ruff). RNAcentral's name for it is "lncRNA (ENSCPUG00000004985.1)". Lineage: Eukaryota; Metazoa; Chordata; Aves; Charadriiformes; Scolopacidae. The record is from RNAcentral.
CAUAAACAUCUUAUCUUUGCAUUCCGACCGCAGCCUAAGCGUGAUAAAGCCCUUCCGAGGGGGCUCUCCAUUCCUCCUCGUUUGAUAAGGCUGCAAACGCAACUCGGCUUGUUGGGAAUGGCUCUGGAUGCCUUUGUGCUUCCUAAAAGAGCAUAAAUAAUUAAAGUUUGGCAGGGAGGAAAAGCUUUCUUGCAGAACUGUAGUGGCAAUAAAUGAAAUGACUCAGAAUCUCUUCUCCAGUCGGUUUUUACGAGAGCUGCCAGACAGUGUCUGUUCACGUUCUCCAGAUACUAGGGGCGCCAUAACAAAGUUAAGGUCAAGUUAGUGUCUUAUCUUGGGUGGCACAAAAAUACCGCAUCUUCUCCAACCGGACCGGGUAUAUUUUUAAACCUGAAUGUUAUGCAAGUCGCCUUAAUUUCCACGGAGGGCUUUUGGAAAUGUCACUUGGACCCGAAUACUUGGCAAUUCCAGGCAACGGUUGCAGAUGUUUCAAGACGCCUAACGCCUUUGUGACCCGGUUUGUGCUCGUCUGUGUAAAAUCAUUUUUCAAGGAG